This is a long non-coding RNA of Mirounga angustirostris (Northern elephant seal), 5960 nucleotides long. RefSeq lists it as uncharacterized. The record is from RefSeq and is a predicted model, not a curated record. The transcript has 3 exons. Lineage: Eukaryota; Metazoa; Chordata; Mammalia; Carnivora; Phocidae.
UAAGGGGUCCAGGAACAAGGGGAGGGGCAGGCAGCUCUCCCGUGCCUGUCGUGGGGUCGGAGCCCACCCGCACACUCGCCCUUCCAGCUUACAUAUUCCGCAGUCCGAACAGACACUGGGUCUGUUCCCACCUGCAGCCACGCCCUCGGGAGUAGGCCCCGCCCACGGCGCUGGUUCUAACUUCCGCCAAGUCCCCGGGCCCCCUUCCGUCCCCGGCUCCCGCGCCUGGCCCAGCCCGACCCGCCCACGCCCACGCGGGAGAAAGCUAGAGCUUUCCCGCCUGAUGUGGUCGGAUCGGGCUGACGGCCGGAAAGCGGGGGCCCGCCCCUUCCGGCCUCAGGCAGGAAGCGGAAGUGGGGUCACGGAGGCGCCGGGCUCUUUUCCGCCGCUGGCCUGGUUUCGCUUUGGCUGUGGGUCCACGCAGGCCAACUUCUGGAGGUCAACGCGAGGGAGACGGAAGGACGAGGCUGUGCCGGGCCUCCCAGGAGCCUGCUUAAAGAGACCUGGCGCGUGGGGCGCCUGGCGGCUCAGUCGGUGGAGCGAGCCCCUCUUGAUCCUGUGGUCGUGAGUUCAAGCCCUACCUUAGGUGUAGGGAUGACUAAAAAAAAAAUAAACUUUAAAUAAGACAGAGAGCCGGCGCGCACCGCUGUCUUCCGCUGGGAGUGUCCUCGGGAGUAGCUGGACCGGGAAAUGGGGAAAAGCGCUUCCGCCGGCCGAGUUGGUAGAUUCCGGCCGUGUCGUCGCGUCCUCACCGACCACGCGGUUCCGGCUCAUGCCGCAAACUCCUGAGAAAAGAGACACCCGUAAGCACUGAUGAAUGUACAAACUGUUUGAGGAAUGCACACUUUCAGUCUCAUCAUGUCAAAGCACCAAAAUAACAUGCAGUCACCAUUAUGAAAUGCAAAUACUGAGAUUAUUUGGUAUUCUCUCAUCAUUCUGAUAGAUUCCACUUUGUGAGAAAAUUCAUCAGGGCUCAGAGUGGCUCUGUUCCUUUAGGAAGCUGUGGAAACAGGUCUACCUAGAAGGAAAUGUAUGUAUCUGAUGAAUGUAUUAUGUCAUUUUUGUUGAAGGACAAACUUUUUUCUUACCUGAGAAGAACCUGUUAAACACUCAGUCUUCAUCUUUUUUGCUGCUGUCCUUGUUUCAAGAAAGAAGAACAUGUCCUUAGAAGGAAAACCUAGUAGAAAAGAAGAAUGAACACCAGAGAUGACUAUACUUGCCACAUUCACCUGACUGGAAUUCAUUCCAUUCUAGCUUGAAAUUCCUGAAUAUUUCUCUGCAUUCAAGUAAAUCCACACAAACAGACACUGCUGCCAUACAAUGCCACCGUGGUCCUCUCUCAUGCUGCCCUUCAAGAAGAGAAUCAUGGUGCUUAAUUUCACAGAGUCCUUUUUUUCACCAACUCCUUAAUAUCAUUACUAAAUUGUUGACAUAGCCAAACUCUUCAAAUCUAUUGUACUGUUUUUUGGCAUGUUUAAGUUUGUAAUAAAUUCAAAUGAACCUCACUGUUUUUAACUCCUUUAACCUACAUUUAUUUCUAUAAUUUCUUAUAUUUUUCUCUCUUACUUUCAAACAGGAAAUACAGCAUAAACCAAACAUUCAGUAAUUCGGCAGGAUAUUUUGGGAGAUAAAACAUCCAAUAGGAGAGGAACAGUAAAAUCACUAAGUUUAUAAAGCAAUAUUUUUUAUUUUCCACACUUGGAAAAGAUUGAGAUUUUCCUUAGAUGGAACAUUUGCCCAAGUGAUAGAUAUUUGAGAUAAGGGACAUUUUCCAAAGACAAAACAAUGUUUCUUGUGAGAUAUUCUCAGUGUGAUGAAUCUGGGGAUAUACUAAACCUACCUUGAAAUUUGUCACUUCACAAUUCCCACAAGUAUUCAUUCCCAUAUAUAUAAAUGGAUGUUGAAUUUUUAAAAAAUGCCAUGAAACAAAAGGACUCCCUUUAGGAUUAUAGGAGGUGGCCCAUCAUGCUGGCAGAAGGAGUCCAUCCAGCUGGAAAGAAAUGAACAGGGCAGGAGGUGUAUGAAUGCACUGGAAAUGAUAAGAAUCCUAAUCAGCAUGGUAAUGCUAUUUCUAUUUUGAGAUGGGUAGGAUCAAUUAAUGAGUCUCAGAAAUCUUUGAAGCAUCAUUCAUGCAUUCCCCGACAGGCAAGAAGCCAUGUUGAAUGGGAACUCUGUGUGUGCAACAUGGAAAACACUUUGGUGAAUGCUCAUGCCUUUAGACACAGGAGAACUCAAAAUGGAGGGAACACUUACAAGGAUAAGGAAUAUGGAAAAAGCUCCCUUUCUCUGCAGAAGGAAACCUGUAAUGGAGACAGACUUUCUGGGUUUAAUCAAUACAGAAAAACCCAUCUACCUGACUCCAAAUAUUCUGUACUGGAAAACCAGCACCCAAGAAAAAGCCUUCACAUGCGGUGACAGUGGGAAGACCUUCCAUGAUCAAUCUUACUUCAAAGCACAAAUGACAACUCAUGAUGGAGAAGAAAGUCUAUGAAAGCAAGGAAGGUGAGACACCUGUUCUUCACGAGUGUGCAUGAAGAAACUUGCACUGCUAACGGAUUUAUGAAUGUGAGGAAUGUGGUGAAAAUAUUCCAUGUGUGCAAACUGUUAAGUAUACAUGUGAAUUGACAUGGGAGAAACCCUAUAAAUGUAAGGAAGUGGGAAAGCCUUUAUUUCAUCUUCCAAUUUUAAGAGACAUACAAGAGCGCCUGGGUGGCUCAGUUGGUUAAGCGACUGCCUUCGGCUCAGGUCAUGAUCCCGGAGUCCUGGGAUCAAGUCCCACGUCCCCUCUCAUGCUGCUUCUCUCUCGCGCUCUCUCUCUCUCAAAUAAAUUUAAAAAAAAGAGAGACAUACAAAAUCUGAUACUGGAGAGAGUACCUUUGUAUGUAAGGAAUGUGGAAAGUUUUUAAAAAUUCCUCAUGUCUUAAUCACAUUUGAAUUCACACUGGAAUAAAGUAAGGAAUGUGGGAAAACCUUCAUUAGUUCUUUUUCUCUUGGUAAACAAAAAGAAGAAGAAGAAGGUAGCAGGAGGGGAAGAAUGAAGCGGGGGAAAUCGGAGGGGUAGACGAACCAUGAGAGAUGAUGGACUCUGAAAAACAAACUGAGGGUUCUAGAGGGGAGGGGGUGGGAGGAUGGGUUAGCCUGGUGGUGGGUAUUGAGGAGGGCACAUUCUGCAUGGAGCACUGGGUGUUAUGCACAAUGAAUCAGGGAACACUACAUCUAAAACUAAUGAUGUAUGGGGAAUAACAUAAGAAUAAAAAAAAAAACCUAUGGAUAUAAAGAAUGUGGGAGGGCCUACAGUGCAUCCUCAAGCUUUACUGAACAUAUAAAAUCACACUCAGGAAAGAAGCUUUUUAAAGAUUAUUUAUUUUAGGGUGAGGGAGGGACAGAGGGAGAGGAAGAGGGAAAAUAUCCCAAGCAGAUUCCAUGCUGAGCAUGGAGCCCAAAACAGGACUUGAUCUCAAGACCCAUGAGCUCACAACCUGAGCUGAAACCAAGAGUCAGGCUCUCAUCCAACUGAGCCACCCAGGUGCCCUGAGAAGCCUUUAAAAUAUAACAAAUGUGGGAGACCUUUGCUACUUAAAUCAUACUCAUCUUAGAAUCACGCUGGAGAAAAAUGUAAUGUGUGGGGGAAGGCAUUUGCCUGUUAUUCAUACUUUAUCAUUUACAGACAUGCUCACACUAGAGAGAAGCCUUUCAAUAUAAGGAAUGCAUAAAAGCCUUUACUUUUUCCUCAAGACUAACUUAAACAUGUUAAGAAUUCACACAGGAGGGGUGCCUGGGUGGCUCAGUCAUUAAGCGUCUGCCUUUGGCUCAGGUCAUGAUCCCAGGGUCCUGGGAUCGAGCCCCACAUCGGGCUCCCUGCUCUGCGGGAAGCCUGCUUCUCCCUCUCCCACUUCCCCUGCUUGUGUUCCCUCUCUCACUGUGUCUCUGUCAAAUAAAUAAAUAAAAAAUCUUAAAAAAAAAAAAAAGCAUACAGGAAGGAAACCCUAUAAAUGACACAUUUCUCAGUGAUGUGCCUUUCAAAACAAAUACAUGCAAAGAAACCCAGAGUGUAAAUACUUUAAGAAGGUCUUCCAAUUAUUCCAAUUAAUAUUAGAUAAAUGAAAAUUCACCUUUAUAAAUGUUAAAACUGUGGUACAACCUGCAGUUCUCCCCAGUUCCUUUAACUGUCAUGAAAGCACUCACUCUGGAGAGAAAUCCCAUCAAUGUAAGGAAUGUGCUAAAAGCCUCAAUACUCCCACUGACUUUGAAGAUACGAAAGAAACAAACUGGAGGAAUGGUCUCUAUGUGUAGACUGUGGUAAAGACAUCAAUCUCCUGAAAACCCAGUAUGCUAGCUCUCACAGUGAAGCCGUGCUAUAAGAAACAUCUAGAGCACUUGACUGUUUCCUCAGUGAAAUACGUUCCUUAAAUGUGGUAGAUCCUGCAGUGCAGAGAAUCUUCUAUAUGAUAUGUGGGAAAACUUCAUCUCCUGAAUUCCUCAAUGUUCACUUGUAAUCUCAUUGUGUGGUAUGCUCCAUUGGUGUAAGAUAUUUGUUAUUUUACAUUAGAUAAUUGCUCAUCCUUAAUAAACACAAAGUGACUCACACUCAAGAGAAACUAUGGAAUGCUGGAAAUUAUACUGAGUCAGAAUCUUAGGUUCUGCUGGGACGCCUGGGUGGCUCAGUUGUUUGGGCAUCCGACUCUUGGUUUCAGCUCAGGUCAUGAUCUCAUGGGUCUUGGGAUUGAGCCCCACAUCGGGCUCUGCACUCAGGAGGGAGUCUUCUUGGGGAUUCUCUCCCUCUACCUUCCCCCAACCCAGCUCGUGCUCACUCUCUCUCAAAUAAAUCUUUUUAAAAACAAGGAUCUUAUGUCUGUUGACAGGCAUUAGCCUUGUGGGUGGUUGUAAGAUCUGUUUUAAACAUUCAUCAUUGUGUCCCAACCUUUUCUGGGGGCAUGAUGUAUCUUUGCCCUGAUUGGCCUGGCCUGGCCAGUCUAGUUGCUGCACCUUCCACCUUGCAACCUGCCCAAAAGUGGGCCUACACGAGUCACACUUUAUUGUCUUCUACCCACCUGGAUUCUCUUACUGGAUUGGCAUGAUCUUACAUUUCAAGCAUGGGGCCUGCAUCACUGUUAAAGCUGUACAUCGAGUCCAUCUACACUGAAUCACACUGGCCAGGGUAGGGGAUGUAAAACGUGUCUGUCAGUUUUGGAAAGAAGACCUUGUGUCCCUUUCUCGAACCCAAUCCUAUCUCAUGAAAUCUCAGGAUGAAGUAUGGGAUGAGUGGAGAAAAGGUGAGAUUACAGCUAGGAACGUGAGGCAGCAUGAGCACAUGCCCUAUGAACACCACCCUACUAACUGGGGAGGCCCUUCUACUCAAGUUCUGCAGCAAGAGGGUAAGAAUAAUGAAUGUGCUCUUCCACCCCUACAUCCAACACCACAGCCUGGCAAAACAACCCUACCAUCUUCGUAGCUCAAGCAACAGGUGUCACAGUGAUGGGGUCUGGCUCUGUGCUUGUCAUUCCAACCAUGUGCUGUGAAAACAGCCUCAGUGAUACAAAUUCAUACAGCUCUGAUGCCCAAGCUGCUUUGGGUUGGAUUAUGUCAUGUGUGGCCAUCAGAGUGCAGCUGCUUGAUGACACUCUUUGAGGCUUAAUGAAACCAUUGUAAUGAUAAUCCAAAGCAAGUUUCCCACAUGUCUUACAACUUCAGAAGAUAUUAUCUGUGCACCUUUUUCUCUUGCUCUCAUUCACUUUUUUACCUGGGAAAAAUGUAAAUCCCUGAUCACUCUUUCCCUGGGCCAUUUGUUAGAUGGGUCUUUGCAGUGUGGAAUCUUGAGAGAUGAGAUCAUCUCUCCCAUAAGAUAAAGAGCAGGCUCACUUACUACUUCAAAUACACUAGGUUCUGCAAGCUUAGCAUUCUUCUCCUUCAGCACCUGGGCCCUUUGGAACCCCUGAGAGACGGGGACAAAGGGAGCCAAU